GUCUACUGCGCAUGCGCCGACAACGGAGCGGCCGCCCGCUCGCGCUCAUGAUGACGUCGCGGAUAUAUUCUCCAUGCUCUACCUACAGUUGAAAAUGCUAUCUCAUCACGACUACAUCUUUCGCAGCAGAGCAGAGGCGUUUGGAGUUUUGUUUUGGGGUUUUUCCCCAUUUUCAUUUUGGAGCAAGAAAAUGACGCCGCAACUUUUACAAACCAUGAAAUUAUAAGUUGCAUUUUAUUUCAAACUAUUUUCAUUUUACAGCUUACUGAUUUAAACAUUACAAUAUUUGUGUCCACGUUAGAAUUUAUCUACUUCAUAAGUAAAACGAUGAAACAAAAUGAAAGUUUACAAACUCAGCUAUUUUUACUGACUAACUUAACCUACUUUAAAAGCAAAAAUGGUAUACUCCAAAUAAAUGCAAAUGCAACUAAAGUGGAGUUAGGUGUAUGCUUUUUGCAUAAAAUAAGCUGCUCAUCUUGAUUGGCGGUGUGUUAACAGGUGCAGAGCAAUAUCAGGACAAGGCCGAACAUGUAUUCCUCGAAUCUUUGGAGCUGAGACGUUGGCAACAGCUCUGGCCAGUAAUAUGUCAGAAUGAAUUUGCCGGCAAUGCUUUACUAAGAACUUGUCAACCCUCAUCACUGUGUUUUCCAUUGAAGCCUUUAUGUCGCCAAUACAUGCCUCAGCUCUAGCUGAGAUUGCUACAUCAUGGGGAUUAUUGAAAAACUGUUGCAUUACAUUUGUCCAGCAAACAAAAUCUUUGGCUAAAUCUAUCAAUCUAUUAGCAAAAUCAGAUAGAGCUUGUGCAAUUGGUACUAUUUGAUCUCCUAUAUGAGUGCACAUUAUGGAUAAAAAAAUGUCACUGGAAUCUCCGUCAGGUCUAUUGAUUUUCAAUGCUAUCGAUGAUGUUGCAUCAAGGGCCACUGCAUUUCCCAACUCGUUCGCGAUAUCAUUGUAAACACUUAUUUGGGAAGGUGACCAAUAUGGAGUUAAAUAAAGGUAC
Long non-coding RNA from Phymastichus coffea, 1000 nucleotides. RefSeq lists it as uncharacterized. Lineage: Eukaryota; Metazoa; Arthropoda; Insecta; Hymenoptera; Eulophidae. The record is from RefSeq and is a predicted model, not a curated record. The transcript is spliced from 7 exons.